This 301-nucleotide ribosomal RNA is filed under the name uncultured bacterium. Its description in RNAcentral is "partial 16S ribosomal RNA". It matches the Rfam family "Bacterial small subunit ribosomal RNA", at positions 509 to 807 of the family's 1533-position model. The record is from RNAcentral.
CAGUCGCCGCGGUAACACGUAGGGUGCGAGCGAUAAUCGGAAUUACUGGGCGUAAAGCGUGCGCAGGCGGUUUUGUAAGACAGGCGUGAAAUCCACGGGCUCAGCCUGGGAACUGCAUUUGUGACUGUAGAGCUGGAGUGCGGCAGAGGGGGAUGGAAUUCCGCGUGUAGCAGUGAAAUGCGUAGAUAUGCGGAGGAACACCGAUGGCGAAGGCAAUCCCCUGGGCCUGCACUGACGCUCAUGCACGAAAGCGUGGGGAGCAAACAGGAUUAGAUACCCGAGUAGUCCCUGUCUCUUAUAC